GCCCGGCUAGCUCAAUCGGCAGAUCGUGAGACUCUUAAUCUCAAGGUUGCGGGUUCGACCCCCGCGUUGGCCU
This 73-nucleotide transfer RNA is filed under the name Entomophthora muscae. RNAcentral describes it as "tRNA-Lys". It matches the Rfam family "tRNA". Rfam says of the family: Transfer RNA (tRNA) molecules are approximately 80 nucleotides in length. Their secondary structure includes four short double-helical elements and three loops (D, anti-codon, and T loops). Further hydrogen bonds mediate the characteristic L-shaped molecular structure. tRNAs have two regions of fundamental functional importance: the anti-codon, which is responsible for specific mRNA codon recognition, and the 3' end, to which the tRNAs corresponding amino acid is attached (by aminoacyl-tRNA synthetases). tRNAs cope with the degeneracy of the genetic code in two manners: having more than one tRNA (with a specific anti-codon) for a particular amino acid; and 'wobble' base-pairing, i.e. permitting non-standard base-pairing at the 3rd anti-codon position. The record is from RNAcentral. Lineage: Eukaryota; Fungi; Entomophthoromycota; Entomophthoromycetes; Entomophthorales; Entomophthoraceae.